UACAGAGACUGCAAGCGUUAUUCGGAUUCACUGGGCGUAAAGGGUGCGCAGGCGGCCAAGUGUGUGAGGCGUGAAAGCCCGGGGCUUAACCCCGGAAUUGCACCUCAAACUACUUGGCUAGAGCAUUGGAGAGGGUAGCAGAAUUCAUGGUGUAGCAGUGAAAUGCGUAGAUAUCAUGAGGAAUACCAGAGGCGAAGGCGGCUACCUGGACAAUUGCUGACGCUCAGGCACGAAAGCGUGGGGAGCAAACAGG
Molecule: ribosomal RNA, 253 nt
Filed under: uncultured bacterium
Lineage: Bacteria
Description: partial 16S ribosomal RNA
Rfam family: Bacterial small subunit ribosomal RNA
Source: RNAcentral